GCUACGGGUGGCAGCAGUAGGGAAUCUUUCACAAUGGGCGAAAGCCUGAUGGAGCAACGCCGCGUGCAGGAUGAAGGCCUUCGGGUUGUAAACUGCUUUUAUAAGCGAGAAAUAUGAUGGUAACUUAUGAAUAAGGAUCGGCUAACUACGUGCCAGCAGCCGCGGUCAUACGUAGGAUCCGAGCAUUAUCCGGAUUGACUGGGGGUAAAGAGUUGCGUAGGUGGCAUAAUAAGUAGCUAGGGAAAUCUGGUGGCUCAACAAUUCAAACUAUUAGCUAAACUGUUAAGAUCGAGGCCGUUAGGGGUAACUGGAAUUUGUAGUGUAGGGGUGAAAUCCGUAGAUAUUAGAAAGAACACCGAUGGCGAAGGCAGGGUACUGGGACGGUUCUGACACUAAGGCACGAAAGCGUAGGGAGCAAACGGGAUUAGAUACCCUUGUAGUC
This 442-nucleotide ribosomal RNA is filed under the name uncultured bacterium. Its description in RNAcentral is "partial 16S ribosomal RNA". It matches the Rfam family "Bacterial small subunit ribosomal RNA", at positions 338 to 795 of the family's 1533-position model. The record is from RNAcentral.